Molecule: non-coding RNA, 74 nt
Organism: Podarcis lilfordi (Lilford's wall lizard)
Lineage: Eukaryota; Metazoa; Chordata; Lepidosauria; Squamata; Lacertidae
Source: the annotation of a GenBank genome assembly
GCCAGGAUAGCUCAGUUGGUUACAGCGUGGUCCUGAUAACACCAAAGUUGCAGGUUUGAUUGCUGCAUGGGGCA